UCUUACCGGUCGUUGUGCUUCUAAAUUCUUGUUAUUAUGGAAAUUAUAUAUUUCAUUUAUCUGGCUGUAUUUUAUAUAGCAGCGAACGCGUCGUUCUUCCUUUUUAUACGUCUUCCGUUAGCUUUGAAAUUAGCGACUAUCGAAAAUUGAUCACUCGAAUCGUCUGAAGAAUAUUCUCAUGAAAUCGUCAAUAUGGGCCAAGGCGAAGAUUCACUGCCAACGAUAAUGCCUUAGUAUAAUUAGAGCUUUGUCCAAAGUAAACCUCUGUGAAUGAAGUAUCUUUAAAAAUUGUGCUACGCAAGUAACAGUAAAACUCUUGUUGUCUUUAAUUAAAAUCUAAUCAAGAACUGAUUUUUUUUGGAGGUUAAUCGUUAGGGUGCAUCAAACGUAUUGUUUAUAUUUUAUACGGUCCUGUGAGUGUAGUAGUUUUCUUUCUUACCGACUCCUGGCACGAAUUCUCAAGCAAGUUACAGACUUUUCCCACAGGGCGGCAGCACCAACGCGUUCUUCAUCGAGAUUUACUUCUAGAUUUCAUUAUGUUCUUCCAUACUUCUGAGAUCAGUAAAACUGUUUGUUGUGCCAUCGAAAUACAUUGUACUUCUCAUCCAAUUGAAAUGGAUUCAAUCGCAACUCGAACGGCACAGCAUUACUAAACACAGUCCAUUACGCCGGACGGGGGAACGGGGAUCUUCCGCUGGAUUAAAUCCUGGAACAUGGUAUCGCUUACCCAGGAAGUCGUAGACAGGGAACGCACGGUUAGUAAGUAGGCAGGUACUCGCUUCUGACGUUAAUACGGAAAGUCCUUAAGCUGCAACUGUGGAAACUUUACGGACCGUGGCAAUGACAGACACAAUUCUUGAGAAGCCAUGUUCAGGAUUUCAAGAAGUGGAUGCACAGGACAAAUGAUACAAAUAGUGUUCCCUGAGUAUAUCUAUACGAAGAGAUUGCAGUUAACUGACACGCUGGAAAAUCGAGCAUUAACAGAAACUAGGUGCAAGGUACG
Cephus cinctus (wheat stem sawfly) is the source of this 1003-nucleotide long non-coding RNA. RefSeq lists it as uncharacterized. The record is from RefSeq and is a predicted model, not a curated record. The transcript has 5 exons. Lineage: Eukaryota; Metazoa; Arthropoda; Insecta; Hymenoptera; Cephidae.